CACAAUGGGCGAAAGCCUGAUGCAGCAACGCCGCGUGAGGGACGACGGCCUUCGGGUUGUAAACCUCUUUCAGUAGGGAAGAAGCGAAAGUGACGGUACCUGCAGAAGAAGCACCGGCUAACUACGUGCCAGCAGCCGCGGUAAUACGUAGGGUGCAAGCGUUAAUCGGAAUUACUGGGCGUAAAGCGAGUGUAGGUGGCUCAUUAAGUCACAUGUGAAAUCCCCGGGCUUAACCUGGGAACUGCAUGUGAUACUGGUGGUGCUAGAAUAUGUGAGAGGGAAGUAGAAUUCCAGGUGUAGCGGUGAAAUGCGUAGAGAUCUGGAGGAAUACCGAUGGCGAAGGCAGCUUCCUGGCAUAAUAUUGACACUGAGAUUCGAAAGCGUGGGUAGCAAACAGGAUUAGAUACCCUGGUAGUCCACGCCCUAAACGAUGCGAACUGGAUGUUGGGUUCAACUUGGAACCCAGUAUCGAAGCUAACGCGUUAAGUUCGCCGCCUGGGGAGUACGGUCGCAAGACUGAAACUCAAAGGAAUUGACGGGGGCCCGCACAAGCGGUGGAGUAUGUGGUUUAAUUCGAAGCUACGCGAAGAACCUUACCAGGUCUUGACAUCCAAGGAACCUUCCGGAAAUGGAAGGGUGCCCCUCGGGGAACCUUGAGACAGGUGCUGCAUGGCUGUCGUCAGCUCGUGUCGUGAGAUGUUCGGUUAAGUCCGGCAACGAGCGCAACCCACACUUUCAGUUGCCAGCAUUCAGUUGGGCACUCUGGAAGAACUGCCGAUGAUAAGUCGGAGGAAGGUGUGGAUGACGUCAAGUCCUCAUGGCCCUUACGGGUUGGGCUACACACGUGCUACAAUGGUGGUGACAGUGGG
This 869-nucleotide ribosomal RNA is filed under the name uncultured eukaryote. RNAcentral describes it as "partial Bacterial small subunit ribosomal RNA". It matches the Rfam family "Bacterial small subunit ribosomal RNA", at positions 367 to 1246 of the family's 1533-position model. The record is from RNAcentral.